RNAcentral lists this ribosomal RNA (894 nucleotides) under uncultured bacterium. RNAcentral's name for it is "bacterial SSU rRNA". It matches the Rfam family "Bacterial small subunit ribosomal RNA", at positions 1 to 884 of the family's 1533-position model. The record is from RNAcentral.
AUUCGCCCUUAUAGUUGGAUCCUGGCUCAGGAUGAACGCUAGCGGCAGGCCUAACACAUGCAAGUCGAGGGGCAGCAUAGAAAGUAACUUGUUACUUUUGGUGGCGACCGGCGGACGGGUGCGUAACGCGUAUACAACCUACCCUUAACAGGGGGAUAACGGGGGGAAACCUCCACUAAUACCCCAUAAUAUUAUGACCGGCAUCGGUUAUAGUUGAAAACUCAGGUGGUUAAGGAUGGGUAUGCGUUGUAUUAGAUAGUUGGUGAGGUAACGGCUCACCAAGUCGACGAUACAUAGGGGGACUGAGAGGUUAACCCCCCACACUGGUACUGAGACACGGACCAGACUCCUACGGGAGGCAGCAGUGAGGAAUAUUGGUCAAUGGGGGCAACCCUGAACCAGCCAUGCCGCGUGCAGGAAGACGGCUCUAUGAGUUGUAAACUGCUUUUAUACAGGGAUAAAUACAUGUACGUGUACGUGUUUGAAGGUACUGUAAGAAUAAGGAUCGGCUAACUCCGUGCCAGCAGCCGCGGUAAUACGGAGGAUCCAAGCGUUAUCCGGAUUUAUUGGGUUUAAAGGGUGCGUAGGCGGCACGGUAAGUCAGCGGUGAAAUCACAAGGCUCAACCUUGUAACUGCCGUUGAUACUGCUGAGCUAGAGAGUAGAUGCGGUAGGCGGAAUGUGUGGUGUAGCGGUGAAAUGCUUAGAGAUCACACAGAACACCGAUUGCGAAGGCAGCUUACCAAUCUAUGUCUGACGUUGAGGCACGAAAGCGUGGGUAGCAAACAGGAUUAGAUACCCUGGUAGUCCACGCAGUAAACGAUGAUAGCUCGUUGUCGGCGAUACACAGUCGGUGACUUAGCGAAAGCGUUAAGCUAUCCACCUGGGGAGUACG